UGGAUCCUUACAUGUUCUCCCCAGAC
Molecule: non-coding RNA, 26 nt
Filed under: Rattus norvegicus (Norway rat)
Lineage: Eukaryota; Metazoa; Chordata; Mammalia; Rodentia; Muridae
Source: RNAcentral